GAAAGAGACCUCAAGUUUCCAAAUUCACUUGGAAUUGAGCCAGAAAGUGAAUUGUUAAAAAGAGACAAGGCAGCUAAGUUGCUCAAAUUGCCCAAAGAUGGAGGGAUUGAGCCACUGAGUUUAUUAUUGCUCAAUUCUAGAUCGGAAAGAGACCUCAAGUUUCCUAUUUCACUUGGAAUUGAGCCAGAAAGUGAAUUGUCAAAAAGAUACAAGGUAGCUAAGUUGCUGAAAUUGCUCAAAGAUGGAGGGAUUGAGCCACUGAGUUUAUUAUUGUUCAAUGCUAGAUCAGAAAGAGACCUUAAGUUUCCUAUUUCACAUGGAAUUGAGCCAGAAAGUGAAUUGUUAUAAAGAUACAAGGUAGCUAAGUUGCGUAAAUUGCUCAAAGAUGGAGGGAUUGAGCCACUGAGUUUAUUAUUGCUCAAUUCUAGAUCGGAAAGAGACCUCAAGUUUCCUAUUUCACUUGGAAUUAAGCUAGAAAGUGAAUUGUUAUAAAGAUACAAGGUAGCUAAGUUGCUCAAAUUGCAAAAAGAUGGAGGAAUUGAGCCACUGAGUUUAUUAUUGUUCAAUGCUAGAUCAGAAAGAGACCUCAAGUUUCCUAUUUCACUUGGAAUUGAGCCAGAAAGUGAAUUGUCAUAAAGAUACAAGGUAGCUAAGUUGCUCAAAUUGCCCAAAGAUGGAGGGAUUGAGCCACUAAGUUUAUUGUACCCUAAAUUAAGUGUGGAAAGAGACCUCAAGUUUCCAAAUUCACUUGGAAUUGAGCCAGAAAGUGAAUUGUUAAAAAGAGACAAGGCAGCUAAGUUGCUCAAAUUGCCCAAAGAUGGAGGGAUUGAGCCACUGAGUUUAUUAUUGCUCAAUUCUAGAUCGGAAAGAGACCUCAAGUUUCCUAUUUCACAUGGAAUUAAGCCAGAAAGUGAAUUGUCAUAAAGAUACAAGGUAGCUAAGUUGCUUAAAUUGCCCAAUGAUGGAGGGAUUGAGCCACUGAGUUUAUUAUUGUUCAAUGCUAGAUCAGAAAGAGACCUUAAGUUUCCUAUUUCACCUGGAAUUGAGCCAGAAAGUGAAUUGUCAUAAAGAUACAAGGUAGUUAAGUUGCUUAAAUUGCUCAAAGAUGGAGGGAUUGAGCCACUGAGUUUAUUAUUGCUCAAUUCUAGAUCGGAAAGAGACCUCAAGUUUCCUAUUUCACCUGGAAUUGAGCCAAAAAGUGAAUUGUCAUAAAGAUACAAGGUAGCUAAGUUGCUCAAAUUGCCCAAAGAUGGAGGGAUUGAGCCACUGAGUUUAUUGUACCCUAAACUAAGUGUAGAAAGAGACCUCAAGUUUCCAAAUUCACUUGGAAUUGAGCCAGAAAGUGAAUUGUUAUAAAGAUACAAGGCAGCUAAGUUGCUCAAAUUGCCCAAAGAUGGAGGGAUUGAGCCACUGAGUUUAUUAUUGUUCAAUGCUAGAUCAGAAAGAGACCUCAAGUUUCCUAUUUCACCUGGAAUUGAGCUAGAAAGUGAAUUGUCAUAAAGAUACAAUGUAGCUAAGUUGCUCAAAUUGCCCAAAGAUGGAGGGAUUAAAUCUUCUAAAUAAUUUGAGUACAAAGCAAGGUAGUUUAGAGAACUUAACCUACCUACUUCAUAAGGAAUUGAGCCAUUUAGUUGAUUCUCGAACAAGUGAAGGGUCUUGAGAUAACUUAGGUGGCCAAUUUGUGGUGGUAUGGUACCAAAAAACGAAUUAUAUGAU
Molecule: long non-coding RNA, 1716 nt
Filed under: Citrus maxima (pomelo)
Lineage: Eukaryota; Viridiplantae; Streptophyta; Magnoliopsida; Sapindales; Rutaceae
Description: long non-coding RNA (CMAX_LNC003740)
Source: RNAcentral